ACGCUUUAGCUCGUGCUGUUGCAGAUGAAAUGCAGAAAAUUUACCAACAUGAGUUGGGGCCUCAGCCCAUCCCUUUAGUUGUCCCUGGUGAAGCUAUUGAUGAAGAAUAUGUUCGUACCUCAUCCCGAACUGGUUACCUGAAGUUGAAAUGAAUAUUACCCCUCCAUAUUCACGUGCUUUCACUUACUUGCUUAUGAAGUUUUCAUGCAUUUCCCUCUUAUAUGCAUCAGAAAUAUUUUCUCGAGGCAGAUGCGGAUGAUGGAACUGAUGAGGAUGAUGAUGAACAAAGUGAAAAUCAGGCUGAUGAUGCAGAUGUGGAUGCAGAAAAAAGGUGAGCGUCUUUUCUUUUACUUGGUUUCUUUGAAUAAUCCAUUAUGUUUGUUUCCUUUUCUGCAAGGAUAAUUGGACAAGUAGCUUUGCUUUGUAAAAUUAUGGGUUCUGGUGUCUGGUGUGGUGUCCAUAUUGAGCAUCUAUCUUUUGGUGUUAGUGGAGUCAUUUUUCAGAGUUAAAUUGAUCCAUAUGAUAUUAAUUUUCUCAAUUUAAAUUGUCAAAGAAAGGUGAAUAUCACUAAUUGUGAUGGAAACUAUGCAGCUCUCAGAAAACCAAAAGGGUAACUCGGGUAGAGUUUAACCGGAGAGCUAGACGAAAGGAACAGUUGAGAAUUGAAGCAGAAGCCAAAAAAGUGAAGGGACUUUCAAAAGACAUAGACAGGUAAAAGAGAUCAUUUCUGCUAAUAUAUCUCCAAUCCAAGAUAGUUGUGCUUUACUCAAAAAGCACUAAAUUGGUUCUCUGCUGCAAAUAGUUUACCGGAAAUAAUGCAAGAAAUUGCGAAAGAGGAUGAAGAGAAACAUAAGAGACAUCUUCGGCGGAUUGUUGCUAAACAAGAAAGAUUGAAAGCUCGUCCAUCUCGCUUGGGAAAGUACAAGUAUGGCGUUAUAUAAGCAUUUUUAUGACGUUUUAUCUUCUAUGCAUGUGAAGUUCUGUUGAAAUAGGAAGCAACCACAACUACAUAGAUGAAAUGUUCUUGAUUAUUUUUACCUAUACUAAGGCAUUGAUCAUAUCCUUAUCUCUUAUCUUGCAUAUAUAUUUAUCAUAAGUUNGUUCGGAAUUAUAUGAUACUCACAAUUCAAUUAUGAUUUUUCAAACUCCAUAUAAAAUUAUGGUCAAAAAGCAAAAUAAAAAAAUUGAACAAAAUUAAUAAAUCUUGUAACAACAAAUGGAACAAAUCAAUCCUCCAUCAUACCUAUGUCAAAUUUAUAUGUAUUUCUACUCUUUUUUUUUUCUUACGCGUCAACUUUUUAUAAAAAUUUCAUAUGAAAACUAAUGGGUAUUUUUAUGAUCUCAACAAAAUUAAUAAUUUAAUUGCUAAAAGUUGUUGAGAUUAAUAUAAUUUAAAAUGUAUUACUUAAUUUAAUUUAAUUAAUUAUAUAAAUAAUUUACAUAAAAAAUUAUUUUAUAUAAUUAUCAUAAGAAUAACAUAAAAUAUAUAAAUUACAAAAAAAUAUGUACCCGUCGAAACUUCGACGGGUAAUACACUAGUACUCGUGUAAUACUAACUGGAAAACCUCAUUCACCAUAGAAAAAAAGUAAAUUUCAUAGACCCAACGUAAAAGGAAAGUCAUCUUCAGUUAAUCGGUCAUCUCAUAUGUAUCAAAAUAUUUUUUUUUUCACCAUUUAUUUGAUAUUGUGAAAAGGGGGUAUGCUUAUGAAUUAAGUAAUACAAUAAAUUCUAGUAUCGAAAUUUUAAUUUUCAAACGCGGAGUAUAAUUUUAUGAAGACAAAAAUAACAAUUUUACUAAGCAUAAGAAAUAAUUACUAUAUUUUUCUAACCCAAAACAAGUGUAUGGCCCAAGCCCAAUACUUUAUGGGUUAGAAACCCUUUUCAAAAGCGGCAUUUCUAUCUUCGCAGCGUCUUCUUCUAUAUGCAUUUUGCGUCCGCCUCUUUCGGUCGCCGUCGCCAGCCUCGCUUCGCCUAGGAAUCUCUGCAGAAGCAGCCUGUGCCCCACCUCGUCUCAGUGCGCCGCUUCACGCUCCAGCAUUUCCCGUCGUCAGGCCUCCUCCAACCUCGGCGCAGAACCAGCAUCAACGCCACCCCCCAGCCAAACAGCCGGGCCAACAGCAGGUAAAUCACCUCUUUCUUCAAAUUAGACACCUCCGUUGCAAAUUAGAUCACAUUUCUCAUAUAUAUAGAGAUAUAUGGAUUUCAAACUUGUGGAGUUAGGAAUUACUUUUACUUCUUGGUGUUCAACCAGAUCAACCGGGGCACGGCUAUCACCUCUUUCUUAAUUAGACACUCCGUUAUUACUGAUAAAAAUAUAGAGAUAUAUGGAUGAGUCUUUUCUGCCAUUAGCCAUCUUAUUAAUUUGGAUUAGUGCCGCAGGCUUCUCUAUUUCGUGAGAGGAGGAGGCAAGAGAGAAGAUAUAUAGGGUUUUGGAUAACAUCUGCAGACUUUGAGAGAAGGAAGAGAAGAGAAAGGCCUGCAGCAGCACCCGCUGCAAAUUUCCUCUAUUUCGCGAGUGAGAGAGAUAGAGGGAAAAGUCAUGGGUAAGAGAGCCAAGAGUUCAAGGAAGGGAAAGAAAGAAUGGAGGGCUAACAUAAGCACUGAAGAUAUAGAAGAUUAUUUUGAGAAAUCCACAAAAGACGCUCUUUCCGGUGGUUCUUUGGCUGAUGUGCCCAGUGAUUCUCUUUUCUUCGUUGAUAAAUCCAGAGGUAUAAGAAUCUUAAAAUUUUUAGAGGGUUGUGUUUAAUUGUACAUAUGAUACAGAAAAAUUCGAUGAUAUUCAAUUGAUUUUUUGAUAGGGUUUUAGAAAUUUAGUGAGAAAUUGAUACUUCUAGGUUAUAUCACCGUUGAGAACUUUUAGUAUUCUUUUUUGGACGAAAGCAGCUCUAUGAAGUUAUGUACUGUUUCUUAAAGAAGACUAUGUUGGGACUGAAAGUUCUAAUCUGUGAAGUUAUAUAUUGUUUCUAAAAGAAGAGUAUUUUAAGAGUGGAAGUUGUAAUCUCCAAUGAGAUUGGUAGGAAGUCAUGAAUUGCUUUAAAAAAAGUUCUCAGACUGAUAUUGGAUCCUGUAAUUGAUAGUUAGAGCUUUUCCUAUCCGAAACUAGUUACUAUAUUCUUUUGUAUGGUGUGAUGGAGUUUUUCAUUUCUUGAAGGGGCCCAAUUCACUUGGGUUUUAUCUUAUUUCUUAACGAACUGUUUGGAUGUAUAAUAUGUAACUAGUGGCCAUGUUGCGAUCUUCUUGAGAAUCACGAUCAUUUUAACAAAAUGGAGAUUUUUAUUUGCAGAUCUUUCUAUUAAGCGGAAGAUUGAGAAAAACAGAGAGAAAGUAUUGCGAUGUGAUAGUCUGUUGCAGAGAAACCCUUUUAUUAAAGCUAUUCCGUCCUCUAUACAGAAUAAGAAAAAGUCCAAGAGAAAGGGUAAAGCUUUACCAACAGCAGCAGAUGAAAAUGUUGCACAGGGCAGCCUGAGGUUAGUUUUCUUGGGAAUUCUUUUAGAGUGAUUCUGCAAGUGAAUUAGUGAGGCUAAUUCUUAUAUUUCUAAUCCAAUCAUUUCAGGAUGAAAGUGCACAUGAUUCUGGAGUUCUUGAGUUGUGGGAAGAGAAAGGUAACUCUAUGUGUGUGUAUGCAUAUUAAUACAUCCAUAUAGGUUGCUAUUUCUAUCGGCUGUGGUUUGCAACUACCAUUUGUUAUUUCUAAUAGAAUUUGCUAUUUCACUUUUGCAGGAGAAGUCAAGGCCAAAAUAAAAAAGGUAUAACAUAAUUUGUUGUGCACUUUUGGUUUCUGCUUGUGUAACCAAUUAUAUUGUUCAAGGAAUCAUUAUUUGAUGAGUAUUGCAUGUUAGAGAUUCUGAUAGUUUCUUAGCUGUCUCUGUAUGCAUUAGAACUUCUUGAAGUUAGUACUGAGUAAUGUAGUUCACUAGAACAUGAGAUUCUUUUAGAAUCUAUGGGGUUUAUUUAACAGUUAAUCAUGACAGAAGCCCAAGUCUUGCGUUAUUCCUGCUGUUGAGGUUGAACAUCCUGGAAGUUCAUUCAAUCCUCACCCUGAGAGCCAUCAGGUUGGUGUCAAUCUUUUACCUAUGCAAUUUCAUCAUUUUUCUUUCUAUUAAUGGUUGAACCUUACACUCUGUUAUAAUAGGACGCUUUAGCUCGUGCUGUUGCAGAUGAAAUGCAGAAAAUUUACCUAACAUGACGUUGGGGCCUCAGCCCAUCCCUUUAGUUGUCCCUGGUGAAGCUAUUGAUGAAGAAUAUGUUCGUACCUCAUCCCGAACUGGUUACCUGAAGUUGAAAUGAAUAUUACCCCUCCAUAUUCACGUGCUUUCACUUACUUGCUUAUGAAGUUUUCAUGCAUUUCCCUCUUAUAUGCAUCAGAAAUAUUUUCUCGAGGCAGAUGCGGAUGAUGGAACUGAUGAGGAUGAUGAUGAAC
RNAcentral lists this long non-coding RNA (4421 nucleotides) under Salvia miltiorrhiza (redroot sage). Its description in RNAcentral is "long non-coding RNA (SMIL_LNC007122)". The record is from RNAcentral. Lineage: Eukaryota; Viridiplantae; Streptophyta; Magnoliopsida; Lamiales; Lamiaceae.